This 377-nucleotide ribosomal RNA is filed under the name uncultured bacterium. RNAcentral describes it as "bacterial SSU rRNA". It matches the Rfam family "Bacterial small subunit ribosomal RNA", at positions 521 to 896 of the family's 1533-position model. The record is from RNAcentral.
UAAGACAGAGGGUGCAAACGUUGCUCGGAAUUACUGGGCGUAAAGCGCGUGUAGGCGGGUCGGAAAGUCGGGCGUGAAAUCCCCAGGCUCAACCUGGGAACUGCACUCGAAACUUCCGAUCUAGAGUGGUGGAGAGGGAAGUGGAAUUCCUGGUGUAGAGGUGAAAUUCGUAGAUAUCAGGAGGAACACCAGUGGCGAAGGCGGCUUCCUGGACACCAACUGACGCUGAGACGCGAAAGCGUGGGGAGCAAACAGGAUUAGAUACCCUGGUAGUCCACGCUGUAAACGAUGGGCACUAGGUGUCGCGGGUAUUGACCCCUGCGGUGCCGUAGCUAACGCGUUAAGUGCCCCGCCUGGGGAGUACGGCCGCAAGGCUA